AGAGGGCCGCGCUGUCCCGAGGAUUCCGCAGGCUGGCGAGCGGGCGGCUGCGGGCUGACGCCGAGGGUGAGAAGGAGCAGAGCCGGCCGGGCCAUGGGACAGCGGGCGGCGGGCGCGCUGCUGCUGGCGCUGCUGCUGCACGGGCGGCUGCUCGCGGUGAGCCGCGGGCUGCAGGA
Long non-coding RNA from Lontra canadensis (Northern American river otter), 176 nucleotides. RefSeq lists it as uncharacterized. The transcript has 3 exons. The record is from RefSeq and is a predicted model, not a curated record. Lineage: Eukaryota; Metazoa; Chordata; Mammalia; Carnivora; Mustelidae.